This 176-nucleotide ribosomal RNA is filed under the name Olea europaea subsp. europaea. Its description in RNAcentral is "Bacterial small subunit ribosomal RNA". It matches the Rfam family "Bacterial small subunit ribosomal RNA", at positions 113 to 308 of the family's 1533-position model. The record is from Rfam by way of RNAcentral. Lineage: Eukaryota; Viridiplantae; Streptophyta; Magnoliopsida; Lamiales; Oleaceae.
AUAAGUAGGUAAAUCGAUCUUUGAAACAUGUGAAAAUGAAGUGACGGAAACCACCACACACGUGUGGAGCAAAAGGAGGAAUCUGUCCGAGGAGGGGCUUGCGUCUGAUUAGCUAGUUGGUGAAGUAAUCGCUUACCAAGGCAAUGAUCACUAGCUGGUCCAAGAGGAUGACCAGC